ACGCUGGCGGCGUGCUUAACACAUGCAAGUCGAACGAUGAAGCCUAGCUUGCUAGGUGGAUUAGUGGCGAACGGGUGAGUAAUACGUGAGUGACCUACCUUUGACUCUGGGAUAAGCCUGGGAAACUGGGUCUAAUACCGGAUACGACCAAUCUCCGCAUGGGGUGUUGGUGGAAAGCGUUAUGGAGUGGUUUUAGAUGGGCUCACGGCCUAUCAGCUUGUUGGUGAGGUAAUGGCUUACCAAGGCGACGACGGGUAGCCGGCCUGGGAGGGUGACCGGCCACACUGGGACUGAGACACGGCCCAGACUCCUACGGGAGGCAGCAGUGGGGAAUAUUGCACAAUGGGCGCAAGCCUGAUGCAGCGACGCCGCGUGAGGGAUGACGGCCUUCGGGUUGUAAACCUCUGUUAGCAUCGAAGAAGCGAAAGUGGCGGUAGGUGCAGAGAAAGCGCCGGCUAACUACGUGCCAGCAGCCGCGGUAAUACGUAGGGCGCGAGCGUUGUCCGGAAUUAUUGGGCGUAAAGAGCUUGUAGGCGGUUGGUCGCGUCUGCUGUGAAAGGCUGGGGCUUAACCCUGGUUUUGCAGUGGGUACGGGCUAACUAGAGUGCAGUAGGGGAGACUGGAAUUCCUGGUGUAGCGGUGGAAUGCGCAGAUAUCAGGAGGAACACCGAUGGCGAAGGCAGGUCUCUGGGCUGUAACUGACGCUGAGAAGCGAAAGCAUGGGGAGCGAACAGGAUUAGAUACCCUGGUAGUCCAUGCCGUAAACGUUGGGCACUAGGUGUGGGGGACAUUCCACGUUUUCCGCGCCGUAGCUAACGCAUUAAGUGCCCCGCCUGGGGAGUACGGCCGCAAGGCUAAAACUCAAAGAAAUUGACGGGGGCCCGCACAAGCGGCGGAGCAUGCGGAUUAAUUCGAUGCAACGC
RNAcentral lists this ribosomal RNA (923 nucleotides) under uncultured bacterium. RNAcentral's name for it is "bacterial SSU rRNA". It matches the Rfam family "Bacterial small subunit ribosomal RNA", at positions 33 to 962 of the family's 1533-position model. The record is from RNAcentral.